CAAUAUAGCUCAGUUGGCAGAGCAGCAGUUUCGUAAACUGCAGGUCAAGGGUUCGAAUCCCUUUAUUGG
RNAcentral lists this transfer RNA (69 nucleotides) under human gut metagenome. It matches the Rfam family "tRNA". From Rfam's summary of the family: Transfer RNA (tRNA) molecules are approximately 80 nucleotides in length. Their secondary structure includes four short double-helical elements and three loops (D, anti-codon, and T loops). Further hydrogen bonds mediate the characteristic L-shaped molecular structure. tRNAs have two regions of fundamental functional importance: the anti-codon, which is responsible for specific mRNA codon recognition, and the 3' end, to which the tRNAs corresponding amino acid is attached (by aminoacyl-tRNA synthetases). tRNAs cope with the degeneracy of the genetic code in two manners: having more than one tRNA (with a specific anti-codon) for a particular amino acid; and 'wobble' base-pairing, i.e. permitting non-standard base-pairing at the 3rd anti-codon position. The record is from RNAcentral.